UACGUAGGGGGCUAGCGUUAUCCGGAAUUACUGGGCGUAAAGGGUGCGUAGGUGGUUUCUUAAGUCAGAGGUGAAAGGCUACGGCUCAACCGUAGUAAGCCUUUGAAACUGGGGAACUUGAGUGCAGGAGGGGAGAGUGGAAUUCCUAGUGUAGCGGUGAAAUGCGUAGAUAUUAGGAGGAACACCAGUUGCGAAGGCGGCUCUCUGGACUGUAACUGACACUGAGGCACGAAAGCGUGGGGAGCAAACAGG
RNAcentral lists this ribosomal RNA (252 nucleotides) under uncultured bacterium. RNAcentral's name for it is "partial 16S ribosomal RNA". It matches the Rfam family "Bacterial small subunit ribosomal RNA", at positions 524 to 776 of the family's 1533-position model. The record is from RNAcentral.